UACGGAGGGUGCGAGCGUUGUCCGGAAUCAUUGGGCGUAAAGCGCGCGUAGGCGGCCCGGUAAGUCCGCUGUGAAAGUCCAGGGCUCAACCCUGGAAAGCCGGUGGAUACUGCCGGGCUAGAGUCCGGAAGAGGCGAGUGGAAUUCCUGGUGUAGCGGUGGAAUGCGCAGAUAUCAGGAGGAACACCGAUGGCGAAGGCAGCUCGCUGGGACGGUACUGACGCUGAGGCGCGAAAGCGUGGGGAGCGAACAGG
Molecule: ribosomal RNA, 253 nt
Filed under: uncultured bacterium
Lineage: Bacteria
Description: partial 16S ribosomal RNA
Rfam family: Bacterial small subunit ribosomal RNA
Source: RNAcentral